UACGGGGGGGGCAAGCGUUGUUCGGAAUUACUGGGCGUAAAGGGCUCGUAGGUGGCCAACUAAGUCAGACGUGAAAUCCCCAGGCUUAACCUGGGAACUGCGUCUGAUACUGGAUGGCUUGAAUUCGGGAGAGGGAUGCAGAAUUCCAGGUGUAGCGGUGAAAUGCGUAGAUAUCUGGAGGAAUACCGGUGGCGAAGGCGGCAUCCUGGACCGAUAUUGACACUGAGGAGCGAAAGCCAGGGGAGCAAACGGG
RNAcentral lists this ribosomal RNA (253 nucleotides) under uncultured Acidobacteriota bacterium. RNAcentral describes it as "partial 16S ribosomal RNA". It matches the Rfam family "Bacterial small subunit ribosomal RNA", at positions 524 to 776 of the family's 1533-position model. Lineage: Bacteria; Pseudomonadati; Acidobacteriota. The record is from RNAcentral.